CGUAUCACUUAAAGCGAUUCAGCGGGUUACGAUUGACGGAGCGAAGCGACGUCAAAGCGUAUACAAAGUCGAGUCGGUUUAAGUGAUACGUUCGUUGGGUAGGGGAGCGUUCUGUAAGCCUGUGAAGGUGGCCUGUGAGGGUUGCUGGAGGUAUCAGAAGUGCGAAUGCUGACAUAAGUAACGAUAAAGCGGGUGAAAAGCCCGCUCGCCGGAAGACCAAGGGUUCCUGUCCAACGUUAAUCGGGGCAGGGUGAGUCGACCCCUAAGGCGAGGCCGAAAGGCGUAGUCGAUGGGAAACGGGUUAAUAUUCCCGUACUUGGUGUUACUGCGAAGGGGGGACGGAGAAGGCUAUGUUGGCCGGGCGACGGUUGUCCCGGUUUAAGCGUGUAGGUGUGUGUUCCAGGUAAAUCCGGUUCACUUUAACACUGAGGCGUGAUGACGAGGCACUACGGUGCUGAAGCAACAAAUGCCCUGCUUCCAGGAAAAGCCUCUAAGCAUCAGGUAACAUCAAAUCGUACCCCAAACCGACACAGGUGGUCAGGUAGAGAAUACCAAGGCGCUUGAGAGAACUCGGGUGAAGGAACUAGGCAAAAUGGUGCCGUAACUUCGGGAGAAGGCACGCUGAUAUGUAGGUGAAGCGGUUUACCCGUGGAGCUGAAAUCAGUCGAAGAUACCAGCUGGCUGCAACUGUUUAUUAAAAACACAGCACUGUGCAAACACGAAAGUGGACGUAUACGGUGUGACGCCUGCCCGGUGCCGGAAGGUUAAUUGAUGGGGUCAGCGCAAGCGAAGCUCCUGAUCGAAGCCCCGGUAAACGGCGGCCGUAACUAUAACGGUCCUAAGGUAGCGAAAUUCCUUGUCGGGUAAGUUCCGACCUGCACGAAUGGCGUAAUGAUGGCCAGGCUGUCUCCACCCGAGACUCAGUGAAAUUGAACUCGCUGUGAAGAUGCAGUGUACCCGCGGCAAGACGGAAAGACCCCGUGAACCUUUACUAUAGCUUGACACUGAACAUUGAGCCUUGAUGUGUAGGAUAGGUGGGAGGCUUUGAAGCGUGGACGCCAGUCUGCGUGGAGCCGACCUUGAAAUACCACCCUUUAAUGUUUGAUGUUCUAACGUGGACCCGUAAUCCGGGUUGCGGACAGUGUCUGGUGGGUAGUUUGACUGGGGCGGUCUCCUCCUAAAGAGUAACGGAGGAGCACGAAGGUUGGCUAAUCCUGGUCGGACAUCAGGAGGUUAGUGCAAUGGCAUAAGCCAGCUUGACUGCGAGCGUGACGGCGCGAGCAGGUGCGAAAGCAGGUCAUAGUGAUCCGGUGGUUCUGAAUGGAAGGGCCAUCGCUCAACGGAUAAAAGGUACUCCGGGGAUAACAGGCUGAUACCGCCCAAGAGUUCAUAUCGACGGCGGUGUUUGGCACCUCGAUGUCGGCUCAUCACAUCCUGGGGCUGAAGUAGGUCCCAAGGGUAUGGCUGUUCGCCAUUUAAAGUGGUACGCGAGCUGGGUUUAGAACGUCGUGAGACAGUUCGGUCCCUAUCUGCCGUGGGCGCUGGAGAACUGAGGGGGGCUGCUCCUAGUACGAGAGGACCGGAGUGGACGCAUCACUGGUGUUCGGGUUGUCAUGCCAAUGGCACUGCCCGGUAGCUAAAUGCGGAAGAGAUAAGUGCUGAAAGCAUCUAAGCACGAAACUUGCCCCGA
Molecule: ribosomal RNA, 1690 nt
Filed under: Salmonella enterica
Lineage: Bacteria; Pseudomonadati; Pseudomonadota; Gammaproteobacteria; Enterobacterales; Enterobacteriaceae
Description: partial 23S ribosomal RNA
Rfam family: Bacterial large subunit ribosomal RNA
Source: RNAcentral